RNAcentral lists this unclassified non-coding RNA (334 nucleotides) under soil metagenome. RNAcentral's name for it is "partial contains 5.8S ribosomal RNA, internal transcribed spacer 2, and large subunit ribosomal RNA". The stretch from base 1 to 120 matches the Rfam family "5.8S ribosomal RNA", at positions 35 to 154 of the family's 154-position model. The record is from RNAcentral.
GAUGAAGAACGCAGUGAAAUGCGAUAAGUAAUGUGAAUUGCAGAAUUCAGUGAAUCAUCGAAUCUUUGAACGCACAUUGCGCCCGCCAGUAUUCUGGCGGGCAUGCCUGUUCGAGCGUCAUUUCAACCAUCAAGCCCUGCUUGCGUUGGGGUCCUGCGGCUGCCAGCAGGCCCUGAAAACCAGUGGCGGGCUCGCUAGUCACACCGAGCGCAGUAAUACAUCUCGCUUUGGGCGUGCGGCGGGUUCUUGCCGUUAAACACCCCCUUUUUACCAAGGUUGACCUCGGAUCAGGUAGGAAUACCCGCUGAACUUAAGCAUAUCAAUAAGCGGAGGA